This 68-nucleotide transfer RNA is filed under the name Marmota monax (woodchuck). RNAcentral describes it as "tRNA.Ala". The record is from RNAcentral. Lineage: Eukaryota; Metazoa; Chordata; Mammalia; Rodentia; Sciuridae.
GGCUUGUAGCUCAGUGGUAGAGUGCUUACCUAGCACAUGUGAGGCACUGGGUUCAAUCCUCAGCACCA